Molecule: small RNA, 127 nt
Filed under: Marmota monax (woodchuck)
Lineage: Eukaryota; Metazoa; Chordata; Mammalia; Rodentia; Sciuridae
Source: RNAcentral
GCUGGGUGUGGUGGCACACACCUGUAAUCCCAGAGGCAAGGGAGGCUGAGGUAGGAGGAAUUCGAGUUCAGAGCCAGCCUCAGCAAUUUAGUGAGGCCCUGGGCAACUCAGCAAGACCCAGUCUCUA